This is an RNA transcript of Leptopilina boulardi, 4616 nucleotides long. It is a transcript of the gene named putative ankyrin repeat protein RF_0381, with no coding region annotated. NCBI's taxonomy places the organism in Eukaryota, Metazoa, Arthropoda, Insecta, Hymenoptera, Figitidae. The transcript has 13 exons. The record is from RefSeq and is a predicted model, not a curated record.
AUUGCAAAUGGCGUCGUCAGUAGAAGAACCAUUUUAUGUUUGAGAAAAUUUAAUCUUUUAAUCUUAGUUGUAUCAUGAAGUGAAUUAUAUAUAUUUAAUUGUAAUCAGGUUCAGAAUUAUCUAAAUUAUCAAUAAAUAAUAUAAGUUUAUUGGCAGGCAGGAAGAAAAUUAGUACAUUUCGAUAAAAUUUUGCUGACACGGAAACUCAACCUAAAAAGUUUAUCAUCCCAGUGUUAAAAAAUACAGAUUCUAUUCUCGAUGGCUUGCGGUGUCACGUACUUCAAAGAUAAGGGCAAACGUAAAAAAAGAGAUAUCUUUGAAGGACACACAAUUCACACAAACUUUUUAGAACUCGGUCUAUUUUUACGGUUAUUUUUCACGUUUUCUGAAUGGAAAUUUAACUUGAAAAUAGGGAUCUCCGAGGGCUAUUUAGUUUGAAAGAAUCUCCUUGAAGUUGAAAAUUCGUUAUUAAGGUAUAGUUUUCGUUAGCUUAAUUAUAGUGAAAUAGACCAGUGACGCGAAGGUGGCGCUCCUAGUGAUCACUAUCGGUAAUUCUAAACGUCGUGUACAGUGUCGAGUGGUUUCUGCAUCGUCGAAAGUUUUUGGAAGUGUCAAGUGCAUUCGUUCUAAUUGAAAAAGUCAAUAAAAUGUGUUGAAAUUAUUAAAAUCAUUCUACGGUUGGUGACGUUCGACAAUCAUUAUUUCCAGUAAUUUAUUCGAAACUAAAUCAACGUCUCUAUCGACAUAAACUAUAGACGACUUGAUGCAAUAGUCACGUCCGAGGAAGGUAGCGCUCCUAGUGUUCACUAUUGGUAAUAUUAAACGUCGCGUACAGUGUCAAGUGGUUCUUCGAAAAUUUUUGUAAGUGUCAAGUGCAUUCGUUUAAGUGGAACAGGACAUUAUAAUGGAUUGAAAUUAUUGAAAUCAUUCUACGCGGUUGGUGACGUCGACCAUCAUCAUCUCCAGUACUUUAUACUGUGAAUCACGCUUCCAAAUUCAGAUCGUAUUGUUGCUGCUACAUUUUAUCCACAUUCUUAGGAUUUAAAAGAUGAACUUGACCAAUUGCUGCAUAUAUUAAGACGCUGCAAUAUAUGUUUUGUUCAUGUUUUCAUUUAAAUAAACUCAGGAUGGAAGUUGUUCAAUUCAAGUAUACUGAGAUACUGUGAAUCAUGUGUGAAUGUGCGUCAUCGAUCCUGAGCAACAGCUUCUAAGAUAAAUAAGGACAGUGGACUGGAUUGAAAUAAACUGAAUAUAUGUGAAGAAUUUCCACCUCAACAUCAAUAUACAACAGACUUCUCAAGUGAAAAUCGUCAACAAUCGUCAAUUUCUCUGUCAACUGGAAUAAUUAUAAAACAUUAUUAUGAGUGUUCACCGUAAGUUAAAUCGUGCAGUUUGUGAAGGAAGCCUAGAAGAAGUAAAAAAAUUAAUCAAUAUUUAUGGGCUGAAUUACUCAGAAUCAUGGAAAGGAGGAUAUCAUUUACUUUGUGAUGCUCUUGAAAGAAACAAUUUAGCGAUUGCUAAACUACUUUUGACGAGGGGUUCUAGAGUCAACAGCUUACCGAAACGAACUCACAGUACGCCUCUUCAAUUAGCAAUUAUAAAUGGUGACAUGAAAAUUAUUAAGAUGAUUUUAGACAGAGGUGCUGAAAUUAAUCAAAGUAAAUUUGGUAAAACUGCACUUCACAUUGCGAUUGAAAAAAAGAAAAUAGAAAUUAUUGAAUUACUUUUAAAACGUGGCGCUGAAUAUAAAGACAUAAGUUUUCAGGGUAAAAGUUUAUUUUAUAUUGCAAUUGAAAAAAACUAUGAUAAAAUUGUAAAAUUUCUUCUACAACAUGGAGCACAAAUUGAUGAUCCAGUACAAAAUGAUACAACCAUACUACAACUUGCAGUUAAAGAAAAAUCUAUAGAAUUUGUUAACAAUGUUUUAAAGUAUUUUCCUGAUAUUAAUAAUAAAAAUAAUAGACAAUCUUUUAAAAUUGCUGUGUAUGGCAAUGGAAAACAAUAUAAAACGAUUGUUGAGUCUCUUUUAGAAUAUGGUUUUAAUGUUAACCCCGAAGAUGCAAAUGAGUUAUUACAUGUUGCUGUUCAAAAAAAAUAUUUAAAAUUUGUUGAACAUCUAUUGAAACAAGGUGCUGAUAUAAAUGCUGAGGAUAAAAUCAAAAAUAUUCCAAUAGUUUAUGCUAUUAAGAAUAAAGAUUACAAUCUUACUAAACUUCUUUUAAAUAAUGGAGCCAAUGUAAAAGAUAAUCCUUUGCUAUUGAGAAUUGCUAUUGAGACUGAGGACCUAGGAAUCGUUCAAUCUCUUUUGCAUCAUGGUGUUAAUAUUAAUGCUUGUCAUAAAGAUGGAAGUACAGCAUUGCAUUGUGCUGUAUCUGAAGAAUUAGAAGAAAUUACUAAACUGCUUCUAAGUAAUGGCGCUAAUGUAAAUGCUAAACGAAUAGAUGGGACUACUGCUUUUCACAUUGCAGCUGAAAAAUCUUGUGAAUUUACUUUAAUAAUAUUGCUAGAAUUUGGUACCAAAGUCGAUGAUAAAAUCAAAAGUAAUUUUUCAUUUUGUGUCGAUAUUAACUCUAGAGAUAAGUCUGGCAAAACAGCACUUCACAUUGCUUCUCAAAAAGGACAUGAUGGCAUUGUUAACAUUCUUCUGGAUUAUGGUGCUGAUAUUAAUAUUACUGAUGAUUAUUUUAAAACACCUUUUGAUUGCGCUGAAAGUGUGAUAGAUUCAAUCUAUGAGCAAUAUAGUUUUGAAGAAGAUUCCACCUUUGACUCAUCUGACGAUGAAUAUUAUCAUUAUCAGCACAAUAUUCUUGAUCAUGUAUACGGAUAUAAAUUAAUUGUUAAAGCUCUUCAACAUCACAUAAUUAAAUUAAAAACCGCAAAUCUACAUGGGAUCGCGCGCCACUUCCACUAACUCCCGGCCCCCUGAAGCGUCGCGCGCCAGUUCCAGCUGAGCCAAUCAACGCCUGGCGUUCUGUAUCCCACCACAUCCACAGUCGCGCGCCAGUUCGAGCUGAGCCAAUCAACGCCUGGCAUUCUGUAUCCCACCACAUCCACAGUCGCGCGCAACUUCCAGCUGAGCGCUGAGGCUAUUCAGUCGGCCAUCAGCCACGUGCCAGCAACGUCCGGAGUUAUGGAACAAUCAUCUGCAUUUUUAAAGUAAAUAAGCAGUGAUAAGUAAUAGAAGUAAACAAAGAAAAGAAAAAAAACGGGGGAUAUAUAGAAAUCCAUGGAAUUUAACUGGAAACGACAGAGUUAAAAUCGGGACUGACCAUCGUUAACCGACAGAAAAGGGACCGGUAGAAGGGAAAGUAAGAGAAGAACUCCACCAAAAUGAAGGACAGGAGGCACGUGUGCAAGAAAGUGGCCUUGGAACAGACAAGAGGAGACACUAUAAAAAAACAAACAUUUAUUGAAUAAAAAUUUUUAUUAAUAUAUAUUUCUCUUUUAAUUGUCGUCGUCGUCAUCUUCUUCUUCUUCUUCCUCCUCCUAGUCCUCCCUCUUCAGACACGUCCUCCUGUCCUUCUUUUUGGUGGAGUUCUUCUCUUACUUUCCCUUCUACCGGUCCCUUUUCUUUCGGUUAACGAUGGUCAGUCCCGAUUUUAACUCUGUCGUUUCCAGUUAAAUUCCAUGUAUGUCUAUAUAUCCCCCCUUUUUUUCUUUUCUUUGUUCACUUCUAUUACUUACCACUACUUAUUUACUUUAAAAAUGCAGAUGAUUGUUCCUGAAAUAUUAAAGUGUUAAGUUUUAAACAUAAUUUAUAGUUUCAAAUUUUUCUUUAAAAGUAUCUGCUCAAAGUACUUUAAAUUUUUAUUUACAUUUGAAUUUCUUUGAAAAUAAAACUAAGUUUCUAGAUAGAUAAGUUUAAUUUUAUUUAUUUUUUAAUAUUUAUUUAUAUAUUUCAUAAUUUUUACAUUAUUUAUUUAGUUUUAUAUGAAUAUUAUUUAUUACUGUUAUUUUUAGUAUUAUUUAUUAUCAUAAUUUACUAUUAAAAACCUUUUGUUUAUUUUAUUGUUGUCUUGUUUAUCUUCAGAUUACUACUCAACGAACUGAAGAAGAGAGAAAAUCAUGCUGAGAAGGUGAAAGUGUUAUUAUUGGUAUUUACAAAUGUAGGAGUGAUUAAAAAACCUUUUUAUAAAAUAUUCUGUAUAUUUAUAUUUGAAAAUAAAUAAAAAUAUAAAAUAAACGUAUAUUAUUACAUUCCUAUUCAAAAAAUGUUAUUUUCAAUUUUUUUAUUUAUUGGAAAAAUUUAAGUUCGACCUUCGGAUUAUUGAGUUGCAAGGUUCAGGAAAGGGUUCUAUAAAAAUUAAAAUGUCCGCCCUAAUUAAAUUUUUUGUAUACAUUCGCAACUAAAAUGAAAUCAGAGCGAAUAUUUUAAUAUUUAUACAACCCUUUAAUGAACCUUGCAGCUCAACAUUCUGAAGUUUGCAAUAUUCUUCUAUAUAUUUUUUAUAACGGUUAUGAAAAAGGUUUUUAAUAUAUCACGACAUUUAUAAGUGCCAAUAACGACAAUUCCAUCUUAAAAGAUAUUCUUUUCUUCUUUUCAGAUGAUUGUUAGUUGGUUAAUAAACAGGUCAACAAUGAAAUAAAUAAUUAAAAAUAUUGUUAAUACAAAUUUU